GUUAAUGCAAAUUCUUUGAAAAUACCAUGGAAGGGAAAGAAGAGUCAGUGGGUCCAAGCAGCCUCCAGCUGCCCCUUGUGCAGCCCGUGGCUCGUCAGGCGGGGCCCAGCUCGCUGUCAUUGUGAUGUGCAUCCGCUCAAGUGACAUCACACUGCCCACCUGUCCAAGGACGCACACUCGGGGAGAGCUGGGCCGGGGACAACACGGCGUGCGAGGAGGAGGGGACAGGACCGAGGAGCGGGUCCCAGGUUGGGCUUUCCGGCCCUGACCCCAGACCAGCACCUCCCCACCGGCUUCCCGGAAGGAGCUCCGUAAACUCCCGACCCAGGGUGCCGCCCAGGUCUCACCAAACCAGACCCUGCAGGUCUGACCAGGAGUCUGUUCUUCGAAACACUUCCAAAAAGAGGAAAAGGCAGAAGACAGGGGAAGGAAGAGGGAAGCUGAGGCAAUAUUUGGACACAAGUCGGACCCACGUCUCUGCCCCCUGGUCCUGUAUGACUGGUGUCCCGGGCUCUCAAGCUCAGUCAUCCCGUGGCCUCCCCAUCACUGUUCUCUACUCAUUAUUUUUCGUUAAAUUGACUCACCUAAUAAGAAAACCAGCCAUUGUACAAGCACAGUUCACAACGGCGGAAACAACGCAAGCGUCCGCCCACUGACGGAUGGAUAAGAAAGGCAGAGCCUCACCGUGGAAUACGACACAGCCGUGAGGAGGAGCGAAGCGCUGGCAGAGGGACCUUUGGGCCAGACACCUCCACCGAAGGCAAGGAGGCACCCCGCACGGUCUAGGCAAUGGGCCUGGCCACGGAGAGGUCACACCCCCUGCAGCCCCUGAUGGGAGCAGUCUGUGUCGGAGCAGGGCCUGGCCUGCCCGGAGCCCCUACCUGGCGGCCGCGGCACACGAGGUAAAAACCGCCACCCUCCUCAGGCUCCGUUUCCAAGCAAAGGUCUGUUUAUACUGGAUUCAUUUGCCGGCAUUUUCCGCCAGGCCAAGUUCACCCACAGCCGUGCGGACGGGGAGGGCUGGCGUCCCUGAAUCCGAGGCCCCGUUCUGAUAAAGAAGUUACGUAGGAGCAGGAGACCCUGGAUGUUCUCUGUCACAACAUUACAAAUCUUCACGUCUCCUCGUGGGGACCAUGGGAACACUUGUGACGGCUGCCACCCUCAGCGGCGGUGCCCCGUGUCCCAGUCUGUUCUGUGACUGUCCCUCCAAGCGCCUUGCUGCAUCCUGGCUUUUGCUUUUAACUUUAAAUUAAAAAAAAUUUUUUU
Long non-coding RNA from Suricata suricatta (meerkat), 1266 nucleotides. RefSeq lists it as uncharacterized. Lineage: Eukaryota; Metazoa; Chordata; Mammalia; Carnivora; Herpestidae. The record is from RefSeq and is a predicted model, not a curated record. The transcript is spliced from 4 exons.